CGGGACGUGGCGCAGCCUGGUAGCGCGCACCCUUGGGGUGGGUGAGGCCCCGAGUUCGAAUCUCGGCGUCCCGACCA
Molecule: transfer RNA, 77 nt
Filed under: bacterium
Lineage: Bacteria
Also listed under: 4 other names
Description: tRNA-Pro
Rfam family: tRNA
About the family: Transfer RNA (tRNA) molecules are approximately 80 nucleotides in length. Their secondary structure includes four short double-helical elements and three loops (D, anti-codon, and T loops).
Source: RNAcentral